UACGGGGGUGGCAAGCGUUACUCGGAUUCAUUGGGUGUAAAGGGCAGGUAGGUGGCCUGACAAGUGGAUGGUGAAAUCCCGUUGCUCAACAGCGGAACUGCCUUCCAAACUAUCGGGCUUGAGAUUGGGAGAGGAGAAUGGAAUUCCCGGUGUAAGGGUGAAAUCUGUAGAUAUCGGGAAGAACACCAGUGGCGAAAGCGAUUCUCUGGUCCAAUUCUGACACUGAGCUGCGAAAGCUAGGGGAG
RNAcentral lists this ribosomal RNA (245 nucleotides) under uncultured bacterium. Its description in RNAcentral is "partial 16S ribosomal RNA". It matches the Rfam family "Bacterial small subunit ribosomal RNA", at positions 524 to 768 of the family's 1533-position model. The record is from RNAcentral.